CCCCGGGUUCCCCUGGUUGUUUUCUCACAGCCGAGGAACUGAAUCGGGCAGCUCUCCUUUGAGGAGUGGUGAGCAGUUGUGUGACACAUAUCAAGGAUCCUUGUCGUGACACAGCGAUGCCAAGGUUCGGUCCUCCAGUCUAUCACGCACUAAUCUGCUCGGGUCCCCCCUGAGUCCCAGGCAAGCAAGACACAGCCUCUCUUUGCUUCAGUUGGGACCAACGAUAACACUGUCCUCCGAGGGUCCUAGAGAGUCCCCUCACGAGACCUGGAAGAGUCUUAGGAUGUGUACGGCUGGUAAUCAGCAAUGUUCCCUUUGUUGGGCUCUCCUCUCCUUCAGCCUCAAGUGCAGAGGCUUUGAGAAACCCUAGGCCGACAAUCAUGAACUUGGGUCCUAAGGCUUGAGUAUAAAAACUCUCAUUCUGAGCAUCGUGGAGGAAAGGCCUGCUGUCUCCUCUGUCCUGUUAGAUCUACUCCUAUCUUUCACAGACAGGUUCAGCAUCCCCUCUUGAAGGCAGCUGCAUCCGGAGGAAGCCAGAAGGAGGCACAUGCCGCAUUCUAUCAGCAAGAGGACCAGAACCCUUGGACAGAGCACCAGGAAACAGUGGGAAAGUAUGUUGGGUCAGAAGUUGACCUAUAUGGGAACAGGAAUGGAGCCCGAGGGACAUGGUCGAGGUCGUGGGAAUGGAGAAAAGCAAAUGGGGAAACCCUGGGAAUACCAAUCCUGUUUCGUGCUGACAGACUUGGGAGCUAGAGAUAAGGGGAGGCGAGAGUGGAGCUAACCAGGAGAGAGAGAACCCCAGGAGCUCCCAUGGGAUGUUCACCCCUUCACAGCCUAGCAGAGCUCCUCACGCUGGUCUAGACCCCCCCCCUCUCCUCCAGGAGACACAGAAGAGCCAGAUGGAAAAGCCACUGACUAAAUUAAAACACACUAAUUGGGCAUUGGAUUUCUGCUGAAAAUGACCCCUCCCAGCGUCACUGGUGAGGUACUGUGUGGGUGUCGGAUGUACGACUAAGAGGAAAUUCUUCCACUCUGUACAAA
RNAcentral lists this small RNA (1041 nucleotides) under Rattus norvegicus (Norway rat). RNAcentral's name for it is "uncharacterized LOC102556220". The record is from RNAcentral. Lineage: Eukaryota; Metazoa; Chordata; Mammalia; Rodentia; Muridae.